Molecule: long non-coding RNA, 261 nt
Filed under: Chloebia gouldiae (Gouldian finch)
Lineage: Eukaryota; Metazoa; Chordata; Aves; Passeriformes; Passeridae
Description: Erythrura gouldiae (Gouldian finch) lncRNA (ENSEGOG00005003904.1)
Source: RNAcentral
ACUGUGUAACCUUCACUCUUCCAAGAGGAGGAACUCUUUGCAGAUCUGUUAGAAUCCUUCACACCUAUCUAACACAUAGAAUGUUAGGAACAGAAACAUUGCUGUGGAAGAAAUUAUUAAUGAGCUCGGAACAAAUCAUGGAGUUAGUUGACACCACCUUGUCCUUUUCAAGUGAAGUCUACUAUUAAUCGACAUAGUCUACUGGUUCUCUAUGUGCAGUUCUAGCAGGUAUUUGUAAUUAAUUUUAUUUGACUUUUAAAG